CCUACGUGUGGCAGCAGUGAGGAAUAUUGGUCAAUGGGCGCGAGCCUGAACCAGCCAAGUAGCGUGAAGGAUGACUGCCCUACGGGUUGUAAACUUCUUUUAUCAAGGAAUAAAGUGAGGCACGUGUGCCUUUUUGUAUGUACUUUAUGAAUAAGGAUCGGCUAAAAUCGUGCCAGCAGCCGCGGUAAUACGGAGGAUCCGAGCGUUAUCCGGAUUUAUUGGGGUUAAAAGGGGCGUAGAUGGGUUGUUCAGUCAGUUGUGAAAGUUUGCGGCUCAACCGUAAAAGUGCAAUUGAUACUGGCAGCCUUGAGUACAGGUGAGGUAGGCGGAAUGCGUGGUGUAGCGGUGAAAUGCUUAGAUAUCACGAAGAACUCCGAUUGCGAAGGCAGCCUACUAAACUGCCACUGACAUUGAUGCUCGAAAGUGUGGGUAUCAAACAGGAUUAGAUACCCCAGUAGUC
Molecule: ribosomal RNA, 460 nt
Filed under: uncultured bacterium
Lineage: Bacteria
Description: partial 16S ribosomal RNA
Rfam family: Bacterial small subunit ribosomal RNA
Source: RNAcentral